CCUACGGGGGGCUGCAGUGAGGAAUAUUGGUCAAUGGGCGGGAGCCUGAACCAGCCAAGUCGCGUGAGGGAAGACGGUCCUAUGGAUUGUAAACCUCUUUAGGCGGGGAGCAAUGCCGGGCACGCGUGCCCGGAGGGAGAGUACCCGCAGAAUCAGCAUCGGCUAACUCCGUGCCAGCAGCCGCGGUAAUACGGAGGAUGCGAGCGUUAUCCGGAUUUAUGGGGUGUAAAGGGCGUGCAGGCGGGAAUACAAGGCAGAUGUGAAAUCCCGCGGCUUAACCGCGGAACUGCAUUUGAAACUGUUUUUCUUGAGUACCGGAGAGGUAGUCGGAAUUCCUUGUGUAGCGGUGAAAUGCGUAGAUAUAAGGAAGAACACCAGGGGCGAAGGCGGAUGACUGGACGGCAACUGACGGUGAGGCGCGAAAGCGUGGGGAGCAAACAGGAUUAGAUACCCCGGUAGUC
RNAcentral lists this ribosomal RNA (461 nucleotides) under uncultured bacterium. RNAcentral's name for it is "partial 16S ribosomal RNA". It matches the Rfam family "Bacterial small subunit ribosomal RNA", at positions 338 to 795 of the family's 1533-position model. The record is from RNAcentral.